This 449-nucleotide ribosomal RNA is filed under the name uncultured bacterium. RNAcentral's name for it is "partial 16S ribosomal RNA". It matches the Rfam family "Bacterial small subunit ribosomal RNA", at positions 29 to 523 of the family's 1533-position model. The record is from RNAcentral.
AACGAACGCUGGCGGCAUGCCUAACACAUGCAAGUCGAACGAGAUCUUCGGGUCUAGUGGCGCACGGGUGCGUAACGCGUGGGAAUCUGCCCUUUGGUUCGGAAUAACAGUUGGAAACGACUGCUAAUACCGGAUGAUGACGAAAGUCCAAAGAUUUAUCGCCAGAGGAUGAGCCCGCGUAGGAUUAGCUAGUUGGUGUGGUAAAGGCGCACCAAGGCGACGGUCCUUAGCUGGUCUGAGAGGAUGAUCAGCCACACUGGGACUGAGACACGGCCCAGACUCCUACGGGAGGCAGCAGUGGGGAAUAUUGGACAAUGGGCGAAGGCCUGAUCCAGCAAUGCCGCGUGAGUGAUGAAGGCCUUAGGGUUGUAAAGCUCUUUUACCCGGGAUGAUAAUGACAGUACCGGGAGAAUAAGCUCCGGCUAACUCCGUGCCAGCAGCCGCCGUAA